This 406-nucleotide ribosomal RNA is filed under the name Yoraperla nigrisoma. RNAcentral describes it as "partial 12S ribosomal RNA". The stretch from base 51 to 406 matches the Rfam family "Microsporidia small subunit ribosomal RNA", at positions 752 to 1207 of the family's 1311-position model. The record is from RNAcentral. Lineage: Eukaryota; Metazoa; Arthropoda; Insecta; Plecoptera; Peltoperlidae.
UAAACUACGAUUAGAUACCCUAUUAUUUUAAAUGUGAAUUGUUAAUACUUGAGUAGUAAUAGUUAUAUUCUUGAAACUCAAAGAAUUUGGCGGUGUUUUAGGCCUUUUAGAGGAACCUGUCCCGUAAUCGAUAUUCCACGUUUGACCCGAUUUAGUUUUGUUUAUCAGCUUGUAUACCGCCGUCGUCAGAAUGUCCUUAGAGGGUUAAAAUUUUCUUAAAUUUUUAUUAAAAAUGAUGUCAGGUCAAGGUGCAGUUUAUGACUAAGGGGAGAUGGGUUACAAUAAAUUUAUUUAUAAUGGAUUAUGUCUUGAAAUAGGUGUAUGAAAGUGGAUUUGAUGGUAAUUGAAUAGAGUUAUUUAAUUUGAUUUUGGCUCUGAAACAUGCACACAUCGCCCGUCGCUCUUA